This 171-nucleotide unclassified non-coding RNA is filed under the name uncultured Dothideomycetes. Its description in RNAcentral is "sequence contains ITS1". The record is from RNAcentral. Lineage: Eukaryota; Fungi; Ascomycota; Dothideomycetes.
GAGAGCGGCACUCGUGCCGGACCCUCUCCCACCCUUGUGUAUCAACCUCUAUUGCCUUGGCGGGAGCCCCUUUAAGGGCCCGAAGCGCGGGAGCCUAGCCCCCCGCGGCCCGUCAGAGGUCCUAUCAGAAACCCUACCAUUGUGUCUAUCCGAGUCGUGGUUAUAAAAGCA